Molecule: ribosomal RNA, 481 nt
Filed under: Pomacentrus bankanensis (speckled damselfish)
Lineage: Eukaryota; Metazoa; Chordata; Actinopteri; Pomacentridae
Description: partial small subunit ribosomal RNA
Rfam family: Bacterial small subunit ribosomal RNA
Source: RNAcentral
CACUAUGCUCAGCCCUAAAAUUCGAUAGGUCACUACGCCCCCUAUCCGCCCGGGUACUACGAGCAUCAGCUUGAAACCCAAAGGACUUGGCGGUGCUUCACAUCCGUCUAGAGGAGCCUGUCCUGUAACCGAUAACCCCCGUUAAACCUCACCCUCCCUUGUUAAUCCCGCCUAUAUACCGCCGUCGUCAGCCUACCCUGUGAAGGACUAGAAGUGAGCAAGAUUGGUAAGACCCAAAACGUCAGGUCGAGGUGUAGUAUAUGAGAGGGGAAGAGAUGGGCUACAUUUCCUGAAUCAGGAAAUACGAACAAUGAACUGAAAUAAGCAUUAGAAGGUGGAUUUAGCAGUAAGCAGAGAAACAGAGUGUUCUGCUGAAAUUAAUGGCAAUAAAGCACGUACAUAUCGCCCGUCACUCUCCCCGAGCCUAACGUAUUUUCAUGUACCUAAAAAGUCACAUCUGCAAAGGGGAGGCAAGUCGUAA